GGGGAUUUGGCUUAGUGGUAGAGCGCUUGCCUAGCAAGCACAAGGCCCUGGGUUCGGACCCCAGCUCUG
Molecule: transfer RNA, 69 nt
Filed under: Rattus norvegicus (Norway rat)
Lineage: Eukaryota; Metazoa; Chordata; Mammalia; Rodentia; Muridae
Rfam family: tRNA
About the family: Transfer RNA (tRNA) molecules are approximately 80 nucleotides in length. Their secondary structure includes four short double-helical elements and three loops (D, anti-codon, and T loops). Further hydrogen bonds mediate the characteristic L-shaped molecular structure. tRNAs have two regions of fundamental functional importance: the anti-codon, which is responsible for specific mRNA codon recognition, and the 3' end, to which the tRNAs corresponding amino acid is attached (by aminoacyl-tRNA synthetases). tRNAs cope with the degeneracy of the genetic code in two manners: having more than one tRNA (with a specific anti-codon) for a particular amino acid; and 'wobble' base-pairing, i.e. permitting non-standard base-pairing at the 3rd anti-codon position.
Source: Rfam by way of RNAcentral